This 452-nucleotide ribosomal RNA is filed under the name uncultured bacterium. RNAcentral's name for it is "bacterial SSU rRNA". It matches the Rfam family "Bacterial small subunit ribosomal RNA", at positions 29 to 524 of the family's 1533-position model. The record is from RNAcentral.
AGCGAACGCUGGCGGCAGGCCUAACACAUGCAAGUCGAGCGCCCGUAGCAAUACGGGAGCGGCAGACGGGUGAGUAACACGUGGGAACGUGCCUUUCGGUUCGGAACAACCCAGGGAAACUUGGGCUAAUACCGGAUACGCCCUUACGGGGAAAGAUUUAUCGCCGAAAGAUCGGCCCGCGUCUGAUUAGCUAGUUGGUGGGGUAAUGGCCCACCAAGGCGACGAUCAGUAGCUGGUCUGAGAGGAUGAUCAGCCACAUUGGGACUGAGACACGGCCCAAACUCCUACGGGAGGCAGCAGUGGGGAAUAUUGGACAAUGGGCGCAAGCCUGAUCCAGCCAUGCCGCGUGAGUGAUGAAGGCCCUAGGGUUGUAAAGCUCUUUCGGCGGGGAAGAUAAUGACGGUACCCGCAGAAGAAGCCCCGGCCAACUUCGUGCCAGCAGCCGCAGUAAC